Molecule: long non-coding RNA, 2407 nt
Filed under: Felis catus (domestic cat)
Lineage: Eukaryota; Metazoa; Chordata; Mammalia; Carnivora; Felidae
Description: lncRNA (ENSFCAG00000051121.1)
Source: RNAcentral
GCGAAACUGGGGCUUCAGGCUGGAUGUCAACAGUGGCUCCCUCGGCACUGAGGCUCCGGGGUCGUAAAGUGCACCUGGCCCGCGUUCCACGAGGCGAGUGUGGCCGUUCCCUGCUCGUUCUGUGGCUAUUCGUCUAAGUCCAAUAUGGCAGACAAAAGCCUUGCAGAAACUGCUGGAUCCCGGUACGGUGGGGUGGGGGGGGUGGGGGGGACAUCAUGUGACGGUCGCCGGCCGCGGUCCCAGGGCGCCCUGUGAUGUUCCUGUUUGUGGCUGUGCCACAGGCGCGUGGACGCACGGGGCUGGCGGAGCACAUUGUCCAAAGGCAGGUGUGGGGGUGCCCCGCAGAAGAGGUCCACUCGGGGCAGCGGCCGCUGUGCCCCAGGGUGGCGCGGCCCGGCACGCGGCGUCCUCGCCAGGCCCCAGCCGACACACUGCCGGCUUCCAGGCCUGCUCCCCACACCCUGCUCCUGUUUGCAGCCCCUUUCGUCUCAGCCCAGGAACCUUGUUGCCAGGGGGGCUCAGAGCAAGUUGACAUCCAGUUGGGGCGUCAACACAGACACUCCACCAGCAAGAACAACAUACAAAGGGAUGUGAAACCCCACGUGUGUGUGUGCAUGUGUGCGUGCGUACAGAAGAGGUAACAUCCAUGCGCGUGCACAUGUUCGUGUUGGUGCAAAGGAUAUUGAGAAGCCGCUCCCGGCGUGAGAAUAUUCACUGAUGACAGUUGUGUUUAGGGGCAGAGAAUUCCAAGAGCUUCCAGAACCCGGCGAUUCCUGGCUCUAACCCCAAACGGACACCGAGAAUCCCCCAGGGGAAAGAGGGAGUCUGUACCCCUGUGUAGCUACCAACACAGAUUUAAGGGGGCCCAGGGUUCACCGGAAGGCAUUUCCAGUUUGCUUGAGCAAAACCACUUGAAAACAAGCAUGACAACGUGGCAAGCCAGAACCGCCUCACGGCACCUGCUUCCUCCAGCAGCACAGCCCCCACCCCCGGAGAAAUGGCCACGUCCCCGAGGCACCAACAACCACAGGUCACGCCGCUGCUGGAAGCAGGGAGGGAGAAUGCAGCGUGAAGACACAGACGCGUGGGGGAGACGGCCGUGGGAGGACACAGGCAGAGACGCAGUGACGCUGUCACCCGCCCGGGAUGGCCCGGGCCACCAGCGGCUGGAAGAGGCAGGGAGGCGCUUUCCCCCAGGGCGAGGGACCCUGGCCAGCCACACCUGGAGGAAGCAGGACCCUGACCAGGAGGGGCCGCGGCCACGAGGGAGCCCGUCUCCACCCUCCGUGACGACGAGCGGGGCAUCCGAUGUCACGAGGCCGCAGACAUCACGGGAGCUCCCUCCCCUCCGUGCCGGGAGCCGGCCUCCGAGCCCCUCUAGGGUUUUGGCCCCACACAACUCCUACAGGGUGAGGGUCCAUCCAGGACGGGGAGGGGUAUCCGAAGGCAGGACUGCCGUGUUGGGGUAGCCCCGACGGGCGCGGCCAGGGCUCAGCCGAAGUCCCAGGCCCCACACCCAGGCAGCGAGGCCUCGAGCACAGCAGGCCCCGCCUGGCCCCGGGCUCGUGCUGCCCCAGCAGCACCUUCCGACCCUCACGGGAAGGCUCUGAAGUAUGUGAAUUGCUUCUGACGUCAUAGAACAGCCUGCACCACUGUUUAUCGUCUUUACCUGCGUAUCACGCCCAUGGUCUUCCCCGAGGGCCCUGAGGUUCAGGGUCCAGCUCGGCAAGUGGGCAAAUCACGUGGGCAGGGGAAGAGGCUGGCCAGCAGCUGUCUGGCCCCGUCAGUUGGGGUCAGGCCAGAAGUCACGGGCAGAGGAGGGCGGGUGGAAGGCCGUCCCCGCCCAUGGGCUUGUGCCAAGCAGACAACCAGGUCUGGGAGACGUGGCCUCUGUCCUGGAACAACGGACCUUCUCUGCCCCUUUACCUCUCGUAGUCACAUAAAAUGCGACGCGAUGCUCCAGUUUGGAGACGUCAGAAACCCAGGUAGGUGGCCAACCACUGCCCACGUGGGGAGUGAGCCUCCACGGAAACCGGCCCUUCAGGUGGCCCACACACAACGGGUGAGUCCCACACGCGGGUCACGGGAGGCUCACAGCGGCAAAGCAGAUGCUUGUGUGGACAAGUCUGUCCCCGGGGACAUCUGUCCCCCUGUCCAUCAGAGCAACUUCCAGAGGCCCCGCCAGGUAGACCACUGGGGCUCUGCCCACGGACCGUGAGCCAGGGGUCCUGGGAAGUACCUGAUCCUCAGGGCUGAGCACAUUCCCCUCCUGGCUGAAAGCCCUCACCAGGGGCAGACUUGCAUUCUACCCCAGGGCCCAGGCCCCAGUCCCGGCGGGGGGGACUCAGGUGCAGUAGGGGGCCCAUCCCCCAGCACGGGAGCCGUGAGGGUGGGGGUGCUGAGGGCA